CUCCCAAGUAAUCGAUAUGAUAGAUAAAGCUAAUGAAUGACGAAUUCCCCUUCAUAAAUUGGGGUCUCCGGUCAAGUGGCGAUUUAACUUCUCUUAUCAAAUCCCACAAGACCAGGUACUUUGUACUCUCUUUGCUGAUGUUUCUCCCUCCAUUAAUUUCCUGCGUGAUUUCUGUCCUGGAUAAAGUAGAGUAUUCAAUAAGUUUACAUUUUACAUGAGAGGAGUAUUCAUGCUUUCAGUGGGUAACAAGCUGUGAAAAUUUUUAUGUUUAUCUCUGGUCAAGUUUCACAUCAUCUUUUGUUUAGUUUAUCGAUUUAUUUAGGAGUAUAAUUUUUGAUAUAUAAAGUUCUUGUUGGUUUUCCAUAUGGUUGUGUUCUGUAGGACUUGUGCGGUAAUUUUGAUUCUCGAGGCAUCUGUUGAAUGGUGCAGAUUGUUCUAAAAAAAAGCUUUGCUACCCUGCGUAAAAUAAUGCCAUAAAAACCCGUCUCUCUUGAAAUGUUGUUUGAGUUUGUGCGUUAAAAUUUGUUCUAAUUACUUUUAUUUGGAGAUGAGUAUGGUAUGUGUGAAUGCAUGGAUAUGGGGCUGUCAAUUUGUAAUGUUGGCAUCAUUUUGAAUGUUUCCCUUUUUGUGAGAAAAAAUCUGAAGUUUCUGCAUGUGUUUUCUUGGUGUUGGAUCUCUGCUUCCUUCUUCUGGUUGAUUUUUUUUCACAUUGUUGUGAUUCUGUUAGGACAUUUUUGAUCCUCUAGGUAUAUUUCUACUUGAUUGUAUAUUGCAUAGUUUUCUACCAUUAAGCAGCUUCCCUGAAGCUAAAUACAAUAAAUGACAUGGGGCACAAAUGCUGGAUAAUUAUGUUUUUAAGGAUGUCGCUAAUAGCAAGUAAAAACUAAAUUUAUACUAUAUAAAGAAAUAAUUUUAGAGAUUUUAAUUAACUCGUCGUGUCCGUACUCUUUGAAAAAUUGCAUGUCGACGUAUCCAACACAUGUUGUAUUGGACACACGUUUUAGCGUUUAUGCAUCAUAGCUGUACAGUAACCAUUCUGAGUUUGAAUCGAUGACUAGGUUUCCGUCACUUUAGAAAAGAAAUUGAGAGGGCAACUAUCAUUGGUACAAGGACAUUGAUUCUGUAAGUCAGGUUUUUAUUGCCUGGAUUCACAGGUUGUCAUAAAAAGCUUUAAAUUGUAAAUAUCCUUUGUUUUAUGGGAUGUUUUGUAUGCAAUAUUAAGACUAUAUAGUGAAUAAAUUUUAAUUUUUCUUUUUUGUAUUGUCCAAUUCACCUUACUGAGCAAUUCAUUGUAGAAUAUAGAAGAAAAUGAGGAAUUUUCGUUUCACUUCUAUUUCUCUCCAUUUACUUCAUUUUUCUUGGCAUUUACUUUUAUUUGGUUUUGUUUCAGGAUGUGCAUAUCCAUCUUAACCAUAUAUUGCUUGCAACGUUGAUCUCUGGCUCUUUUAUUUGCAGCUUAUUUUGACUUAUGCAACAUGAAUCCCUACAGGUCAAUAUUUUGUUUGUCAAUGAUGGUGUUACAGGCAUGGGGUACAGAUUGGGAUGGACUGAGGCAGCUUCGUGCAUUCUAGUACCAAGACUAGGUGAUUCCUGCACAAAGAUUCAUCUCCACCCUACUCACUCACCUUGCUCUCCUUCUACCAAACCCACAACCCUCGUUCUUGAAGGUCAUGAUGAAAUCAAGAUUCAACACUUCAAACUUUCGUCAAAUUUAUCUCCAGGUACAAAAUUACAUUCGAGUCUACUAGCUCUAUAACCUAUCCUUCAUCCCCAAUUUCCUUGCUAACACGUAUUUUAGUAAAUUCCUAUCUUCCCUCCCAUUCUUCCUCAUGCCCGGAGAGAAUCCUAGGGCGUGGACGGGUUAGACCAUUGAACUUGUACAAGAAAGGCAAAGGCACCUGGAAACUAUAAUCCAUGGCUGGGGUGACCAUCUCAAUAUUUAGAGCAUCUCCAAGAUACUCUAUUUUUAAAGCGUACAUUCUAUCAUUUUGAGAGCAUCUUUAAAUUUAGAGAGUUAAAAUUUUGAAAUAUUCCAACAAGUUCUUUAUAUUUAAUAUUUAAUUUUAGUACUCCAAAAAAAUAUUUAUUAUUUUUCUCUAGAUUAUUUUAUUAUUUCCUAUAUUGAAAACUGAAAUACUUUGAAUGCAUUUAAUUAUAGAAAGUGAAUUUGGCUUGACUCUUUAAAAUGGAGAGUAUAUUAUGUUUAAAGAGUCUCUUGGAGAUGCUCUUAGUCAAAUAAGCAUUUGAAGUGUUGGCCAGCUCAAUUUGUUAACUUAUUAAAGGAUAUACCUAAAUAAUAUGAGAUCUGAUUUUUGUUUAACAUCAAUGAAUAUGAUCAUAUCCAUUUGGGGUUGGGGAUGGAAAUAGGUCCAGACUGCUUGCUUGCUUGGCUUGUAUGCUUGUGAGAGCUUGGUCCAUGGGCGGCUUGGCUCAUUACAUCACGAGCCCAUGUUAUUUUUUUUAUUUAAUUAAUUAAAUUUCUUUGUCUUUUAUCCCGUAUUUAAUUUUUCUUUAAAUUCUAUUUAAUAAAACGAAAAGCUCCCAGGAUGGACCAACUUGGCUCAUCACAAGAAAGGCCCAUGGGCCAAGCCUUGCCCCUUGGUCAACGAGCAGAGCUUAGGUGGUCAACUCGACUUGGUCCGAUCCAUUGUAACCCUUAUAAUCCAUAAACAGAAAUUAGCUUAGAAAGCUAAAAAGACAUAAUGACUUUGUUCAUAAUUUUUAGUUGGGUUUUUGUUUUGGAUUCAAUAUGUAACACCUUGGAUUUAAUUUCUAUUUUGUAUGAGGUCAAAUUUUGUUAAUUUAAGGAAAUUUUUUUAACUACCAUACUUUAUGCUUACAUUUUUUAGAAUUAUCAAAGUUUGAGAAACUUUUCUUAAUUCAGGUCAUAAUUCAAGAUUUUUUUUUAUACAAAAAUAGAUAAUAAUUGAUUUACAUAGGAAUGUUACCUAAAUUAGUGGUUAUUAAAGGAUAAAUUGAUUUUUCACUCUCAUCAUAUUCAUUCUCUAAAAACUUGUUCACAGUUAUUAUCCAUUUUAACUUCUCUCAGAACAAGGAAAGUAUAUAUUGGGGCUCAUGAGUUCAUACUUUUUUUUACAUGUUUUCCGGUGAAAAUCACCCUUCUACAUGCCACAAGGUCACAACCACAAUUUUGCAUGUUACAACAAGGAGGCAUUUGCAAUUCAUAAAGGUAUGUUUGAAUCGUUUUAUAAUUUAUGACAACAUUUAUGUCACUCUAUAUAUGUGUUGUUCCUUGUGAACAGUAUAGGAUUCAUAUUAAAAGUUAAAUGCGAUAUUCGAUAUUUAAGAUCAUACAAGUCAAUGUGACCAAUGAUUUGCACAAUGAAAUUAUUGUAUUUCUUGUAUUGUUCACAAAUAUGUGUUAAUUGUGCUCAUACAUGGCACGCAAAAUUGUGAUAUUUGUAUUAUGUGAUUGUAUUUACGUGAAAUGUGAAAUCGUGACUUGAUAACGUGUGAGGUAAAAGAUGAAAUGCAACAAUUGUCUUUAUGUGUGACCUCUCAUAAUGACAGUGAAGAAGGAAUAGACUAUGGUUUUCUCUUUCCAAAUAAUAUUGAUAUGGUAAGAAUCUCAUUUUGUUUAAUUUGAAUUUUAAAAAUUAAAAAUCAAAUAUAUAUUACCACAAUUAAUGGGAUUAAAUAUAUUUAAAAUAUUUUUUAGAACAAAAAUACCUGACUUGUUAAUAAAAAGAGUUAAUACAUGAUUUUCUACCAUGGAAACUCGAACGCAUGGUGUCCUCUAAAGGGAAAUGCCAUAUUUUAAGAUUACAUUUUCAGAAAUAUCAAAGUUUGAGACUUUGGAUAACCAAGUUAUAAUUAAAAAUUUUUUGGUAUGGGAAUAAAUAAUAAUUGAUUUAUAUAAGAUAAAAAUAUUCCACAAUUAGUGGUUAUCGUAUGAAAAUUGAUUUUUAUCUCAUCAUAUUCCUCCCCUAAAAAUUUGCUUACAGUUACUAUCUUUCCCAUUUAAUGUCUCUGAGAAAAAGAAAAGAAUAAUGCUAUUUGCUGUCGCUUACUAACCAUCACAUGUAUGCUAUAUAAGGUGACUAUGGUAUUGAGCGAUUGAAAAUAACAUUACUCAAAAGAAAAUGAUAAAUUGUUGCUCCAUGAUUUCGUAAUUUCCUUGCAUAUUUUUCGGCCACAACAACCAUUCUACAUGUCAAUAGGCUACAACCAACAUUCUGUUGCCACCAUAGGUAGGCGUUUGGAAUUUUUAAAGAUAUGUUUGUGCUAUUUAAUAAUUUGUGAAUAUAGUUUUAUAACUAUAAAUGUGUUGUAUGGACGGUAUAAUAUUCAUGUUAAAAGUCAUACGUGACCAACGAUAUAUAAGCAUGUGCAUAAAGUUAAUAUGUGACCAGUGACUUAGUGAUUUUACACAAUGAAAUUAUUGUACUAUUUAUAUUUUUCACAAAACUUUGUCAAAUUGUAACUCAAGUGACCUGUGAAAUUGUGACCUUUGUAUUAAUGUGACGUGCAAAAUUGUGGCUUGAUAAUAUGUGUAAAGUGAAAAUGAAAUAUUUAUGACAUUUGUAUUUUAUGUGUGUUUUUGCGACCUCUCACAAUGCGGUAAAGAAGAAAAAGAAUUAGUGUUUCUAUCUCCAAAUUCAAAUAAUAAUUACCAGUCCAAAAAUUAAAAUCAUGUAUAUAUUACCACAGUUAACAAGACUGGGGACAAAAUAAAAACAUAUACUAUAAUUAUAUAAAAUAUUUUUUGAAAAAAAGACAUCUGAUUUUCUAAUUAAAAAAAUAAUACCUGAUUUUUAUAAUGAAACUUAAAAUCAUGGUUUCCUCUAAUUUUUUCAUUCUAUAAUUUUGAUGUUUUCCCAAAAUUUGCAGUUUCCCUGCAAUGGCUUAUACCUAUAGAUUCAAGUAUUUCUCAAUUCAAGAUAUACUCUUUUAUCCCCCGUUUGGCCCCUUUUAAAACUUUUCAAUUUAAUUUAAACUUUUUCUCUCAUACUUUGAAUCAAACAAUCUUCAAUAAAAUAAUAUUACAUUCAAAUCGAAAACUUUUCAACCACACAAUCUUCAAAAAAAUAUUAUUCCCCCCAUUAUAAAUUCAAAUAAUGGGGGCCAAACAAACUCUUAGUAAUUACGAUUAUUUCUAUUUAACUGAGAUUUUCCCUUCUUUUUGUGGAUUUUUGGCUGGGAUUGUUUAUUAAUUGAUGAAAAGUGAAGGAUUAAGCAUGAGACCAGUGGCUGACCCGUGGUAAUUCAAAUGAAAUCUAGUUUAAGAAUAAAUGUGAUGCAUGUGGAUUUCGAUGAUGAGGUCACUGCCUCACCGGUCUACACACAAGCAAGCUCGAAAAAUCAUAAAUUUAUAUUUUUGCUAAAAUUAUAUCCACAAUCAUAUUACGCAACAAAGAAUUUUAGGUUCGUGUUGUAAAGUUUGUUACAGGUGCUAAAAAUUUUUGUGCAAAUAGGCUGUUUGAUCGUUUAAUGGGGUGAUAAAAAAUUUCCCUGUUGACUCGGAUUUUCCAGCUAGACGAACAUUAGAAGUUAUUUGAAUUUUGAAUUGUUACUAUGGACGUUGGUACUCUAUUCGGAAGUGCUCAUUAGAAGUUAAUGUGACAUUUGUAUCCUUUAAUCUUAUUAUGCUCAUUAAUUCUAAGGCAAAUAUCUAGAGUAACUUGAAUGUUAGUUGAUUUUAAUUAUCCCGAAUGAUCCAUUAUUCAUGAAGUGAAUUGAUGUGACGCAGGAUGCAAUACGAGAAUUAUAGGAGAAGGGGGAAGGGGAGAGAAGAGAAGGGAGGGGAAAAGAGAGAAGAAAAGGGAGAGAGGAAGGUAGAAGUUGGGGGAGAAAUAAGUUUAUUUCAUAUAUCAAAACUUGUCUGAUUACAAAGCAUAAGACCCUUUUAUAUAAGAAUUCGUACCAAAUUGAUGCAGGAUGCAGUAUGAGAAUUAUAGGAGAAGGGAAAAGGGGGGAGGAAGAGAACGGAGGGGGCAAAGAGAGGAAGAUAGAAACUGGGGGAGAAAUCAGUUUAUUUCAUAAAUCAAAGCUUGUCUUAUUACAAAGCAUAAGACCCCUUUAUAUAGGGAUUCAAUGGGGAACAUAUAAUAAAAGCAACUAAAUUAAACCUAAUUAUGUUUCCUAAAAUACUAAUUAAAACUGGAAACUAAACACAAUAAUAUCCCUUAUUAUAUUGCAUCAUGAUGUUUCAUGUCAAGAUGAUUAGGACUGCCUAUAAGUUUCUAGCGGAAAAUAUGACUUGGUGAUCAUCAGCGACGUUCGGAUCCAUUUUCUAGUUAAAUAUGAGGCAGUAUUUCACAAUGAUGCUCUGCAUUCUGUCAUGUUUCUUAGAAGCAAGCCCAGAAGAACACCUGAGCAAAAAGUGCAGCAAGGCAAGCUUUGGCUGUUUUGUAAAGUGUUGAUAUCUCAAAGCAUUAAAAUUUGCACAAAGUUUGAGACCUUUUUCAUCUGAGCCAUUGCUUUCUUAGUUUGUUACUUGGAAUUGGACUAGUUGCUUAAAAUGUAUAUAAUCAUAAUAUAAAAUAAAUUUUUGCUAAUUUUGAAUGAAUCAGUGAUAAAAUCAACUUAUCUUUGCAGCAACUACUGAAAAUUGCUUCAGUUUCUCAAUAAUGCUGAAUUGUCAUUACAUAUUGAUUUUUGCCAUUUCAAAUAUCUAUUCUUCACUUAUGUUAAUUCUUGCAUCACUUUGCAUUUUGUGCUUAAUCCCAAGAGUUCUUUGCAUUUUGGUACAGUGCCUUGAUGACUGUAUUUCAGAUGUUUAAUAGACGUUGCACUUAGGAACUUCUGGUUUUACCUAUAAAAGGUUUUGUUCUUGCCAUGUACUUGUGAAUCCUGUUAUGUGCUAUACUUUGUAUACGUUUUUAUGUAUUUGUUUCUAUUUUCUGCUCUGGAUUCUUUGCCUAUUUAAUACUGCAGGUAGCUCAAGAAAUUGAAUCCGAAGCUAAAUACGAAAUGAUUUUCUCAACCAGCUGGUAUGCCAUUAACUGUACAGAACCUGAAUCUGAAUUGGGCCUCGACUGAUUACUGAUAUUACAUUCACUAAUUGCUGGAAAAGUAGAUGAGGAAUUAGCCGCAGUUGGCAACCUGUUUUCCUUCCGAAUUAUUGACUUAACAGACAGUGCACGUGAAUCACUCUUUUAGGCAGUAUGCUUCACAAGAGAAGAAUUUGGUGUUCGUUUAAUUCAAUUUGUGGGAAAAGGUCUUGCAAAUUACAGGUACCAUGGUGAUGUAGAGGGUUUAUGCCAUGCUUCUAUACAAUCCUUUCCUAUUAAAAAUGUUACUUCUUAUAGCACCAACAAAACCUUCAAAAAUGAAAAUUUAAAAUUUGACAUUGAAGUCAAUUGGAGGAUGGGAGUAAAGGAGUGAUGAGGAAAAUGGAAAAUCAUGUUAAAAUGAGUCUGAAGCCAUAGCUGAGAAUUGUAGUGGAUCUUGUUUUAUAUAUAUUUUGUGAACUCGUACAGUUUGAGGAAUGCAAGAAGGGAACAAAAGUUUCCAGCAUUUAUGGCGGCAUUAUUAGGGGAAGGAAGGGAAUACCCAGUUGGUCGUGCGACCCUUAUUUUGUUUGAUGCAUUAUUUUUUUAAGCUGAUUCUAUGCCCUUCUAUUCAUCCCCUUGAUCACGCUCUGAUCAUAUGGGAACUUAGGAAUUUUUAAGGCUGUUGAUUUUGGUUCGGUAAAAUUCUGUUGAAUACUCAAAAAUUGAAAUGUGCAGUUCGUAUUGCUGUCUUUUUCCAAAAUAAGAGGUUCAUGCCUCUUUUGGCCCUCACCAUCAAAAACCUUUACUUGUUUUAGAAAUUUGGUCCAAUAUUAAUCCUUGAACUGUUCGACUCAUUAUCUUGUUUGAAACGACCUAGCUCUCGUCUAUUGUUCUAUUUCUUUUACAGCAAAUGACAUUGAUCAAAGCUCAAGUAGGGGGGAAAAAUAACAUGAGGAUGCUGAACAAAAGCAUCGUCAAGGAAGGAUCAAGUCGUCAUUAAUGUGGUUCCUUUUGCACUUCUUUGUUUUUUGUUGUCGAAAUUUUCACAAAGAUGAACAAGAAUACUUCUCCAUUGCUUUCUCCCAGGGCUGGUACAUUAAGUUCACUUAAAAAAUAUCUGUCUACGUAUAUAUCAAAUGCAUUUUCUCUCAAAACCUUUCACAUGGCUUAUCCUUUUAAGUUGUUACAAGUCAGAAAAGCAUGCUUGUGGUUAUUCCAACCUUCUUGUAAAAUGUAAAUAGUUAUAUGGAAUGGCUUGUAAAUACUCCGCUGAAGCAAGAAUUAGAAGAUAUUAUUAUUUUUUCCGUAUGUGUUUAAAAAUUUCCUGUGUGAAGAUGGAAAAGUUGGAAAAGAUGGAAACUGAUAAUAUUAGUCUCUCUCUCUCUUUUUUUUUUUCCCCCAAGAAAUUGGAAUCCUGGGAAUUUUGCCCUAGGAUAUCAGAAGUUUAGUAGGUACCCUUUAUAACAAGAAUUGGAAUCUUUGAUGCUAUGUCCAUCGAACUUAAAAAUCCUACGUUAACUAAGAAGCUGCUACAUGGAAGUACUCCAGUAAAGUGUUUCUAGAGUUAUCAUUGUAAAGAUUGGGUUUUGCUGAAAUUUGAGCCCGAAAGAUGGUUGCUGGCCUACUGAUCCUUUUCAUUGUUCGGCCCAAUUGCUCAGUCCAUCUAAAUGAAGGUUUAGACUUGAAGAAUUUUGUUUCUUAACUAUGAUUACUGCAUUCGUAACUUAAAUUGAAUGGAUGGCUGACACAUGAAGUACUUGUGACCGUUGGAUGCAUAGAUGAAAUGAUACAUAUACUAUCUGUAGUCAUUUUGAAGGGGUGUGGAUGAAACCCUAGUUUCUUGACAUUUUUUUUUUUUUUUUUUAACGAGGUCUCCCAGCUUGCGCCAGACUAUAUAUCGUCGUCCCUGAACCUCCGGCCCCUCAGCUGCUCAGGGAGGUAAAUCGCAGAAUGUGCCCUUAGUUUCUUGACAUUCUUUGUUAUGCUUCGUGUGGUUUGUGAGAGAUUCACCAUGUGGGUGAUACUCUUGUAAAUUCUUGAGUAGAAUUUUGAUUGCUGUUAAUCAAUAACUGUUAUCCUCAUUUGUGAGUAGUUUUUAUACCAUUGUGGGAUAGCAGAGUGAGUUGGGAGGGAGAAAUCUUUUGAACAUUUGGUAUUCCUUUGUAAUCGAUAUUCUUGCUUGUUUUUGGGCUGUGUUAGUGGAUUAGAUAGCUAUCGCUAAACCUCCGGGGCCUGUGGCCGAAAAUUCUCGUGUGUUCUUUUGAUUUCUUACGUUUCUUUUAAACAAAGUUGGGUCACAAAUUUGGGACCUACAAUGGUAUGAGAGCUUGAAAACCCUUUGAUUCAUGUUCAAAUUUGGUUUUAAAACUCGAUUUGGUUCUGGUCGACUCUUCUGUUUUAAAGAAAACGUCAGAUUUGAGACAAUUUGUUAAUAUUCCUUAAAGAAAUUUCUUGAUAUGUACUUGAAGUUGCUUUGGGAGUAUUCUUGAGUAUUCUUUCAUGUUCACACUUCUGGUAACAAGUUUCAUAACCCUCUCUGAAAUUUCGAAAUGGGGAACCUAUGAGAAUAUUUUUUUAUUUUUUAACAAAGGAUUCCUGAAAACCUCCCUAAAUUUACCUUUGUCUAGGGAUCCCUGAGAGAACCCUAGAAUUUGAGGGAAUUAGGGUUUUGGUUUAAGGAAAUUCAAAAUUUUCAAUGACUUUUUGAAGUUGAUAUUUUGCUACUUUGUGUGUGUGUGCUAUAAUAUCUUAACUGGUUUUUAAAUUCACAUACCUGUUUUGAAGUGCUACAUGGGCCUUGUUUGAAUCCAUUAAUUUGGAAAAAUGUAUUAUGAAAUAGUGAAUGAUGGAGAAUGUGUGGUUAAAAAAGAAGGAUUUUUUUUUUACUUAUGUUUAAUAUUAUUUUAAUGAAGAAUGUGUGGUUAAAAAUGAGUAAUGUAGAAAAAAUUAUGGGAAAGAAUUUUAAGUAAAGGAUGACAAACGGGAGCAUAUUGUUAACUUUGUAUUGAUACUCUAAUUGUGUUUAUUUUGGGAUUACGCCUCUAUUCAUGUGAAUAACUUGAUAUCAUAUGUUUUGAACUUUUCUUCUUGUUUAUUGAGUGUAAGCAUACCUGUUCUUGAUAUUUUUAUUGUAUAGUCUUUCCUUAUAUUUGGAUUAUACUCUCUAUCUUGCAAUUGAAUUUUUUAAAACCAUUUGUUUAAUAUAUUCUUACUUACAAUUUUGCACAAUUAUCACAUUGUUGCAUUCUAAAGUAGAUGUUCAGAUUUGGGAUGGCAAAGGAGACUUUAGCCUCUGGUGAUGGAAAAUUAAAGCUCUUAUGCAACAGUUAAAAUGUGCUAAAGUCAUUGAUGCAAGUUGGCUAGAAAACCUACCUGUGGAUAGGAAAACUAAACAAGACGAAUUAGGGUAUAGUACUAUGUUUCUCGACCUAUUUGAUUAUGUAAUUAAGAAAGUAGGGGAAACCAAUACUACUGUGGAAUUGUAGACUGCUUUAGAGAAACGGUAACUCACUAAGACUCUACCAAAUAAGUGUUAUCUUUGGAGACAAUUUUUUAGUUUUAAGUUUGAUCCUAGCACUGACUCUGGAGAAAACAUGGACAGAUUUAAUAGGAUCACUUAGGAUCUGAUAAAUUGUGGUGAAAAGAUUUCUGGUGAACAAAAAGUGGUUGGUUUGCUUAAUGCACUAGGAGAGAAAUGUAAAGACAUAAGAAAUGCUUUAGAAUAUGUUAGAAGAGACUUGACUGUUGAUAUAAUUCAUAGCCCUCUUUUAAAUAGAGAAUUGGAAUUAAGAUCUGAACAUAAAGAGGUCUUUCAUGAUGAGAAUACCUCAUCUAAUACAAAAACUCAAGUCAAAGGUAUGAGUAACUUUAGUCGAGCUAAUUAUAAUAGAGAUAAUAAUCUCAUUCAAAGAGGCUAAGAACAAAAAGUGCUACUGCUACGGAAAAACAGGUCAUUUUAUAGAAUGUUUUAAGAAAGCUAAUGAUCAAGAGAAUGGAUCCAAUCUUGAGAAUGGUUCUUUAGCCAUUGCUGCCUUUUAUAAAGAAGCAGGAGCUAAUGCUGGGGUGGUUUAUGUAGCUUCAACUGAAAGGAUUGAUCAGAAUUGUGUUUUAGAUUCAGGUUGCUCCUUUCAUUUGAGCCCCAAUCUCAAUUGGUUCUCUAAUUUCUCAAGACUAGAUGGAGGUUUUGUGAAUCUUGGAAACAUGAGACAUGCCAAGUAAAGGGUAUUGGCAAUUUUGUCAUGGGGUUUGAAAAUGGUCAACACAUGAUGUUAAAACAUACUAGGUAUGUUCCAGCGUCAAGAAGAAAUCUUAUAUUGUUAGGGGUUCUAGAUGAUGAGAACUAUCAUAUUGAAAUCAAUAAUGGUUUUAGAUACAUAAUUAGAUACCAAAAGCUCAUUGUAGAUUCCCCGAACUCUAAUAGAAUCUAUGUUAUCAGUUCUGAACUUGUUUCACCCAAAUGUGUAAACUUUGUAACAUAAUAUGAUAAAUCGCAAUUAUGGCACAAGAGAUUAUGUCAUCUUAGUGAAAAAGGCUUGUUCUUCCAAAUGAAGGGCAGAUGAGACAAAUAAGACCUUCUUCUAGAUUUCAAUAUGCAGAUUAUGUAUGUCUAGUUUGAAUUUGAUCCUUUUGAUUUGGAACCACCUUCUUAUGAAGAAGCUGUAUCCUGUAAGGAAUCCUCUAAGUGGCUUAUAGCAAUGUAAGUGGAGAUGAAUUCCUUAUGUAAGAAUAGAACUUAAAAUUUGGUAGAAAAACCCAAAGGCUGCAAACUGAUUAACUGCAAAUGGGUUUAUAAAAUCAAAUAAUAAAAGAUAUAAGGCAAGACUUGUAGCAAAAGAUUUUACACAGACUAAAGGAAUAGACUAAAUCGAAAUUUUUUCACCUGUUGCGAAAUACACAUCUAUUAGAAUAUUACUUGCCAUUGUAACUCAAUUUGAUUUAAAGUUAGAACAAGUUGAUGUUAAUACUGCUUUUCUACAUGGUUCUCUAGAUGAAUCCAUAUAUAUGACUCAACCAAAAGAUUAUGAAGUGAAGAAAAAGGAGAACUUAGUGUGUCUCUUGAAUAAAUCCCUGUAUGGUCUAAAAUUGGCUACAAGGCAAUGAUAUACGAGAUUUCAUUCUUUUAUAUAGGGAUUGAAGUUCAAAAAAUUUGAAUAUGAUCCAUGUUUUUUAUUUAAAAAAUGAUGGAGAAAUUGGAUUUUUCUAUCGGCUCCCAUAUGUUGAGUACAUGCUACUAGUUGGUCACAAUUCUGUUACUCUCAACUUUAUAAAGGAAAAGUUGAAAUCUGAAUUUGAAAUGAAGGAUUUAGGACUUGCUAGGAACAUGGAAAUAAAAAGGGGCAAAAUUAAUGGAAAACUAUUUCUAACACAAAAAUCUUAUAUUGAAAGAGUGGUUAAACGAUUUUUUGUUUAUGAUGCUAAGCCUAUUAGUUUGCCUUUAUCUGCUUGUGUGAAUUUAUCUAUUGAUCAAUUACCUAAGUUGAAGAUGAAUUUAAAAGAAUGAUGAAUGUUCUAUAUGCUAAUGCUGUUGGAUCUAUCAUAUAUGUGAUGGUGUGCUCUAGAUCUGAUAUAGCUUAUGUUGUAAGUGUGAUGAGCAGAUUCAUGAGUAAUCCAAGUGAUCUUUAUUGGGAAGCUAUGAAAAAUUUAAUCAAAUACUUGAAAGGCACAAAUCAAUCAGGACUUAUGUUAAAAAUUGAUAAAGAUGGUCUUGAGUUGAAAGGGUAUGUUGACUCUGAAUUUUGUUAGAAACGUAGACAAUAGGGAGUCUAUAACUGCAUAUUUCUAUGUGAUAAAUAAUACAUGUAUUAGAUGAAAAUCUCAACUUCAGAAAUUAGUUGCCUUGUCUUCAAGUGAGUCUGAAUAUAUAGUUACAAAUGAAGCAGUAAAAAAUGUUCUAUGGCUAAAAGGCUUAUUAAAUGAUCUAGGUUAUGGAAAGUAAGGUAGAGUUAUGGUUAGAUAAUCAAAGUAUCAUUUUCUUAAGUGAAAAAUCAAAAUUUUCACGAUAAAUUUAAGCAUAUAGAUGUUAAAUUUCAUUUUAUUAGAGACAUACCACUUAGUAAAUUCAUUGAUUCUUUGGGAUUAUUGAAAUUUGAAGUUUGCUAUUUUUAUUUUUAUUUUUUCCUUUCUUUGUGAACAGGUAACGAGUGCAAAUGAAAUUAGUUAUUUAGUUUUUAAAUGCACUUCGCUAUUGUCUCAAAUUACGGCAAGGUGGCGAUUGUAAAGAUUGGAUUUGCUGACAUUUUAGCCCAGAAAAUGGUUGCUGGCCAAUGAUCCUUUAGUCCAUCUAAAUGAAUGGAUGGCUCACGCGUGGAGUACUUAUGACCAUUGGAUGCAUGGUUAGAUGGAAAACGAUACAUACACCAUCUGUAGCCAUUUGAAGGGUGUGGAUGAAACCCUUGUCUCUUGAUAUUCUUUGUCCUGCUUUGUGCUGUCCGUGAGAGAUUUAUCAUCUGUGUGAUAUUCUUGUAAAUUCUUAAGUAGAAUUUUUAAGGGUUGUUAAUCAAUAACAUUUAUCCUCAUUUGUGAGUAGUUUUUUAUUCAUUUCUAGAAUAGCAGAGAGUGAGUUGAGAGGGAGAAAUCUUUUAAACAUUUGGUGUUCUUCUGUGAUCGAUAUUCUUGCCUAUUUUUGGGCUAUGUUAGUGAAUUUGAGCGAAAUUUUAAUGCAUGCUCAACAAGAGAUUGAGCAUUCGAUAGCGGUCAUUGAACUUUUGAAGCCUUUGGUCGAAAAUACUCACGUGUUCUUUUUUUAUUUAUU
RNAcentral lists this long non-coding RNA (13707 nucleotides) under Olea europaea subsp. europaea. Lineage: Eukaryota; Viridiplantae; Streptophyta; Magnoliopsida; Lamiales; Oleaceae. The record is from RNAcentral.